Molecule: ribosomal RNA, 253 nt
Filed under: uncultured bacterium
Lineage: Bacteria
Description: partial 16S ribosomal RNA
Rfam family: Bacterial small subunit ribosomal RNA
Source: RNAcentral
UACGUAGGGGGCAAGCGCUGUCCGGAUUUAUUGGGCGUAAAGAGCGUGUAGGCGGCCAUGCAGGUCCGUUGUGAAAACUCGAGGCUCAACCUCGAGACGCCGGUGGAAACCGUAUGGCUAGAGUCCGGAAGAGGAGAGUGGAAUUCCUGGUGUAGCGGUGAAAUGCGCAGAUAUCAGGAAGAACACCCGUGGCGAAGGCGGCUCUCUGGGACGUGACUGACGCUGAGACGCGAAAGCGUGGGGAGCGAACAGG